CUUUUACAAUGAAGAGUUUGAUCCUGGCUCAGGAUGAACGCUAGCUACAGGCUUAACACAUGCAAGUCGAGGGGCAGCAUUUCAGUUUGCUUGCAAACUGGAGAUGGCGACCGGCGCACGGGUGAGUAACACGUAUCCAACCUGCCGAUAACUCGGGGAUAGCCUUUCGAAAGAAAGAUUAAUACCCGAUGGUAUAAUCAGACCGCAUGGUCUUGUUAUUAAAGAAUUUCGGUUAUCGAUGGGGAUGCGUUCCAUUAGGCAGUUGGUGAGGUAGCGGCUCACCAAACCUUCGAUGGAUAGGGGUUCUGAGAGGAAGGUCCCCCACAUUGGAACUGAGACACGGUCCAAACUCCUACGGGAGGCNAUUAUUAAAGAAUUUCGGUUAUCGAUGGGGAUGCGUUCCAUUAGGCAGUUGGUGAGGUAACGGCUCACCAAACCUUCGAUGGAUAGGGGUUCUGAGAGGAAGGUCCCCCACAUUGGAACUGAGACACGGUCCAAACUCCUACGGGAGGCAGCAGUGAGGAAUAUUGGUCAAUGGGCGCAGGCCUGAACCAGCCAAGUAGCGUGAAGGAUGACUGCCCUAUGGGUUGUAAACUUCUUUUAUAUGGGAAUAAAGUUUUCCACGUGUGGAAUUUUGUAUGUACCAUAUGAAUAAGGAUCGGCUAACUCCGUGCCAGCAGCCGCGGUAAUACGGAGGAUCCGAGCGUUAUCCGGAUUUAUUGGGUUUAAAGGGAGCGUAGGUGGACAGUUAAGUCAGUUGUGAAAGUUUGCGGCUCAACCGUAAAAUUGCAGUUGAUACUGGCUGUCUUGAGUACAGUAGAGGUGGGCGGAAUUCGUGGUGUAGCGGUGAAAUGCUUAGAUAUCACGAAGAACUCCGAUUGCGAAGGCAGCUCACUGGACUGCAACUGACACUGAUGCUCGAAAGUGUGGGUAUCAAACAGGAUUAGAUACCCUGGUAGUCCACACAGUAAACGAUGAAUACUCGCUGUUUGCGAUAUACAGUAAGCGGCCAAGCGAAAGCAUUAAGUAUUCCACCUGGGGAGUACGCCGGCAACGGUGAAACUCAAAGGAAUUGACGGGGGCCCGCACAAGCGGAGGAACAUGUGGUUUAAUUCGAUGAUACGCGAGGAACCUUACCCGGGCUUAAAUUGCAUUUGAAUAAUCUGGAAACAGGUUAGCCGCAAGGCAAAUGUGAAGGUGCUGCAUGGUUGUCGUCAGCUCGUGCCGUGAGGUGUCGGCUUAAGUGCCAUAACGAGCGCAACCCUUAUCUUUAGUUACUAACAGGUCAUGCUGAGGACUCUAGAGAGACUGCCGUCGUAAGAUGUGAGGAAGGUGGGGAUGACGUCAAAUCAGCACGGCCCUUACGUCCGGGGCUACACACGUGUUACAAUGGGGGGUACAGAAGGCAGCUACCUGGUGACAGGAUGCUAAUCCCAAAAGCCUCUCUCAGUUCGGAUCGAAGUCUGCAACCCGACUUCGUGAAGCUGGAUUCGCUAGUAAUCGCGCAUCAGCCAUGGCGCGGUGAAUACGUUCCCGGGCCUUGUACACACCGCCCGUCAAGCCAUGAAAGCCGGGGGUACCUGAAGUACGUAACCGCAAGGAGCGUCCUAGGGUAAAACUGGUAAUUGGGGCUAAGUCGUAACAAGGUAGCCGUACCGGAAGGUGCGGCUGGAACACCUCCUUUCU
Molecule: ribosomal RNA, 1686 nt
Filed under: Bacteroides thetaiotaomicron
Lineage: Bacteria; Pseudomonadati; Bacteroidota; Bacteroidia; Bacteroidales; Bacteroidaceae
Description: bacterial SSU rRNA
Rfam family: Bacterial small subunit ribosomal RNA
Source: RNAcentral